Molecule: ribosomal RNA, 343 nt
Filed under: uncultured Glomeromycotina
Lineage: Eukaryota; Fungi; Glomeromycota
Description: LSU rRNA
Source: RNAcentral
UUGAAGGUCGUACCGACGGAAAAUCAACUUCUCGGGUGCUUAUCAUGGGUGACGUUGAGCCUCACGGUCUUCGUUGCUUGUGUUAUUGGUACCUUUGUUGUGCACUUUUUCGUAUGGUAGGUCAACAUCGAUUUUGAUCGUCAUAAAAUGAUUGGAGGAAUGUAGCUUUGAUUUCGAUCGAAGUGUUAUAGCCUUUGGUAUAUGUGACGAUUGGGAUCGAGGAUUGCAACGAAUACCCUUUGGGCUAUCCGUCUGGCCUCUGAAAGUCGCUUGGGUGUCGAAAGCGUGCUUAUGGCCAUACAAGUUGACGGUCAAUAGGUUAGAACGCGAUUACAUUCGUUAA